UACGUAGGUGACAAGCGUUGUCCGGAUUUACUGGGCGUAAAGAGCGCGCAGGCGGUCGAUCAAGUCGAGUGUGAAAGCCCCCGGCUCAACUGGGGAGGGUCAUUCGAAACUGGUCGACUCGAAGGCAGGAGAGGGUAGUGGAAUUCCCGGUGUAGUGGUGAAAUGCGUAGAUAUCUGGAGGAACACCGGUGGCGAAGGCGGCGUUCUGGACUGCAACUGACACUGAGGAACGAAAGCCAGGGGAGCAAACGGG
Molecule: ribosomal RNA, 253 nt
Filed under: uncultured bacterium
Lineage: Bacteria
Description: partial 16S ribosomal RNA
Rfam family: Bacterial small subunit ribosomal RNA
Source: RNAcentral